This is a long non-coding RNA of Dama dama (fallow deer), 6245 nucleotides long. RefSeq lists it as uncharacterized. Lineage: Eukaryota; Metazoa; Chordata; Mammalia; Artiodactyla; Cervidae. The transcript has 4 exons. The record is from RefSeq and is a predicted model, not a curated record.
UCUGUGUGCAGAGUGGUGCAUCUUGGGGCAGUGUGCCUGAACCCCAUCAGGUUCAACCUCUCAACUUGUUAGUUUUUUUUUUUUUUUUAAUGAGUGAAUUUAUUUAUUUUUGGCCACACUGGAUCCUUGUUGCAGUGCAGAGGCUCUAGAGCACUCGGGGUUUCAGGAGCUGUGGGCUCACUGGUGGCAGCUUGAGGACUGCAGCUCCGGCUCAGCAGAUGGGACUCACAGGCUUAGUUGCCCCUAGGCAAGUGGGAUCUUCCCAGACCCACGUCCAGGAUCGUGUGGGAUGGAACCCACGUCCCCUGCAUUGGCAGUCGGAUUUUUAGCCACUGGAACACCAGGGCCACCGCUGGCAACUGGCAACGCAAUAAAUAUGCAAAGACGCAGUAGGUGCUCUGAUGAUCUCCACUUUAAAGACGAAGAAGCUGAGGCUCGGAGACAGGGCCUGUUUCCUCAGAUGGAAGCACAACACUUAAAAACUGAAAACUGAACAUCCAAGAAAUUGGGGCCAAGGGUCUCCAUGAAACCCAACAAGUAAGUUAUAUUUUCUUAAUACUGAAUUGCGGGUAACUCAGGCACAGGAAAGACAAUCUUUGGUCACUUCUUAACCAGCCAGGUUUCUUUGUUUUAGAACCAAGUGAAGACAUGGGAGAGGUAAAUAUUUUCCCAAUUUGGGAUAAUCAUAAAAGUAUAAGAGUAGGAAGACUAUGACGAUGUUAAAGAUCGUGCUAAAAACAAGAAAGCUUUAAUUCCUUUCAUCACUAGGACUUGUCAUUCUAUUGAGGAAGAAAAUGAGGGGGUUCUAAUAUUUGGCUGAUCAAAGGUAUCUCAUUACAACUUUUCUUCAUUUCAUUCUGUGGCAUGUCUCAUCUGCCUCCUCUAGCCCCUACUCCCUCCAUCUGUCAUCUUUCCUCUUUUGUACCUCCCCCCCCGUCCCCCGACUAUUUCCCUACCAAUUUGAUUAUCUAGAGCCUUUCUCAAGAUCCAAAUUGAACUUGUCACACUUCAAGAACACUAUUUGGCACUCCACCUCAAAAAAGGGCAUGGUUUUAUAAAUCACCAUGUUGUAGUGGAAAAAACAGAAGUAAAAGUUAUUCUCUUCUUCUAUGCUUAUCUUCAAUUAAUACAAGAAAAAAGACCAAAACCAAAACAAAACAAAAGAACCCCAAACCAAAAACAAAAACCUCCAACCGAUUUCUAUCUUGGUAGGUGAGGGUCAUAAGUACUGGGCCUGCAAUUUUCUAAUAUCAGCAGUUGCUUUUUGAGUAACCCAUUUCACUGAGUACAAAAUAAAUAUCGAAAUUGCAAGGAUCCCAGUGAUAAAUGUACUUAUUUUAGUCACCAAAAACCUGUACGUGGUAAGAAACCACCAGAACAGAUAAAAAAAGGAUGUGAUUGGCAUUUGGUGAAUAUUCUUUUAUCACUCAGCAAAUGGCUUGAGGUGACCAAACAAAAAUCAGAAAUAAUUUUUAAAUAGUUACCUACCUUUUCAGUUAAGCUUUCUGAUCCAAGAUUUGUUCACUUUUAAACAAAAUGCGAGUUCCUUCAACAUUAGAGGAUGAAACUUUUUCAUCUCUUCCCAAUCAUCAAAAUUUAAAGUUAGAUAUAACAUAGUAUCUAUCUCAAAAUAUUAAUUAAGGAGAGAAGAGAUAUACAAGGUUCAUACUCAUUUAAAAGGAACACUAAUUUAUCAGGCUUUCUCUCGCAAAGGGGAGCCAGGCACAGAAAGGAAAAGGCAAAAUGAGAAGGAAAAUAAAACCAUGAUGACUUUUCAACCUUUCUGCAGGGUGUAUAAAUUAUUUUUGGAGGACAGAAUGUCAAAAUCCAAAAAAAAAAUUUUUCCCCCCACCUUCUCUAGGAGAAUUGCAUCACCAGGCCACAGCCAACUGAGGCUGGAAUAUUUUAUUAGCAAUUCCACAACCCCUUGUACAAAUGACAUUAGUUCACCCAUGGCCCUCAUGUCUUUUGUAUCUUUCCACAUCAAAUGAUGGUUUCAUUUCAAGCCAUUUGCUUUGGAUGAGGAUGAUAAAGGGCAGCAAUUGAAAAACAACAGCAAAAAUCUGAAAUGAACACCACAGGCAAGGGGGCAGUUGCAAAGAAAAGAAUCACAAACCAAAGCAAUAACUUACGGUAGCUACUUUCGCUAUCGCUGGCAUUAGAAGAAACAUGUUCUGCAAGAACAGCACAGCAAAUUAAAGAGAUACCAAGCAUUGGAGAGCAGCCAGAACUUAAAGGAAUAUCAUGCAAGGCUACUAGAAAUGUGAGCGAAAGGCAAGUAAGGCCGCAGAGGAGACGCAUUAAGAGAAUUCAGAUAAGAUGAAGAUGAAAACUUUAUUUUCCAGGGAGCUACUGCUUGAUUGCGGUGUCUUAUUUUUUAUUAGCCAAUAGGAAAGUAUGUUUAAUUAUAAAAAGUGAAUGCUGUCCAUUUAAGCACUUUUCUUUUUAUAAACACUUUGACCCAUUCGUGUAGCUCUGAUUUUCCAGAUUCUUGUUACAAAGGUCAAUGUGUCUCAACUGGAUGUUCCUGACUAUAAUUUCAGGAACUUCUGGUGGGUAAGGACUGGUUUCUUACAGGCUUUUCGUUGCUUUAUUUUGCUGUUAGGCAUUUUGCAAGAAUAUCGCAUUUCAAAUUGCCAGUUGAUCCCUCCCUGGAAUCCCUUUCAUUUCAUUUCUAUUUAAAUAUUUCCUAAACUAAUUCACAAGAUGAAAGGGAUUGCUGAAGAACUUUCCUGCUUCAAUGAGUAUAUGGGACACCUCGGAGGAAGAAAUGAGUCACUGAAAAGUGUUUUAUGAAUCAGUUCAAUAUUUCCUUGUUUUUAAGAUUCUUGCUUGGAUAGUUCUUAGGUUCUGGAGGAAUUAGAACAGGCAGAAGAUGAAUGGUCUAAUACCAAGCACAGGUUCUGGCACAAAGCAUGUUUUUAACUCUGGUUGAAUGACAAGUAUACAGUGAUAUUUCAAAACUUUUUUUCCACAAAAACACAGUUUAACUAGCAUAACAGGGGGAUGUACUGAUUAUGUGCCAGAUUUAGGACUUUUAUUUCCAAAAUAAUUUAUCUGUACUAUUUAUUAAGUUAUAGAAGAUAAAUCCAUCAAUUUAUCAACUUCUUUGUAUAUCAGGCUAACUGAAUGAAGAAUAUGUAACUAUUUGAUCUGUGAAGAUCAUUAGCAAUAACUUUGGCUUUUUAAAAAGGGACAACUGUUGCAAAAUCUUUAGAAAAAAAGAAAAGCACAUAUAACAUUAUUCUCUAACAGUUUAAAAAGAAGUGCUUUGAAAUGUAUUUGCUAUUAUAGAUUCUCACCAGUCGGAUGGAUUAAUUUUCAUUUUUUAGCAUCAUUAAGGUAAAAUUGACAAAUAAAAUUUUCAUAUAUUUUAAAGUAUACUAUGUGAUGAUGUGAUACACGCAUGGAUUGUGAAAGGACUUCUACAAUUGAGUUAGUUAACGCAUCCUGGAUGGACUGAUUUUAGAGCGUGAAACUAAUGAAAAUUAAAGCAUGGGUUAAAUUUACUGAAAUCAUUUCUUUUUGUGUGGGUGUUUGAUGAGAACUGCAUUAUUAAUUUAGGUACACAUGUUACAAGUGCAAAGGGGCACUAGGAAAGUAAGUGUGAUGAAUCAGUGCAAAUCUGUCUUGUUACCGAAAAGUCAAAGCACAUACCCAACAAUGGCUUAUCUGCAUGAGUGUGACUACCUCAAGCACCUUCAUUUGAGGAUGACAGUUUUUUUUAAUUUGUUUUUGAUUAUCACUUUUAAAAUAAUUCAGAAUGAAGCUACAUUAGAAAAAUUUAGAAUCAUACAGCAGUUUAUUUAACAACCAGUCUCUCUUAAUGUUAAGAUAUUGUUUAACAGAAUUUUUCUAUUUUGCAGGUGAAAAGAAAUUAAAAAUAUGUUCCAGCUAAAGUCUAAAUUAUGGCUACCAGUACUGUUAACUGGCAUAUAACUUUACCUAGUGUAAUAUAUUCAAUUUUGGAGAGUAAGUAAACGUUCAGAUUUAAAAGGCCAUCACUCUGGAUUUAAAAAGGCAUCACAUACUUCCAACUCUCCAACAGCAAGAGAUGUUCAUUUAUUAACAAUAUAUUAAAAUGCUACCCAACCCCACUGAAAAUUUAGAAAUUCUCCCUGGUGGUACUUGGUGCUAAUUGGAUAAUGUUGAAAUCAACACUUGAAUUUCAGUCACCAAUUCAAGAAAAAUUUCAAGGCAUAUUCUGUAUAGAGACUCAAAGAUAAAGUUUUCAUCUUUAAGGAGAUCAGCAGUUAUUCUUGAUCAGAUUUUGUUUUCUAAAUAUACAUAUCUUAAAAAAAAUCCAAAUUAACAAUUUGAAGGAUGAAGGGUAUCAUUACGCAGGGUUAUAUAACCAGCUCUUGAAAACAAAGUCCAGCUCAAUGUUAUUUUGUUUCUUAGCAAUGAAAUGAACAGCUUCUAAAAAUAUUGCCCAUAGCUGUUAAAUCAAAACAAACAAAAAUGAACAUGUGAUGCAGCUGCGAAAGACACAAAAUGGUUCUUAUUUCAUUGGUGCCUACACAAUGGGGUUAGUGUCAAAGACAGAAAAAUCAUAGUAUAUUAAAACACAGAAUUAUUAUUUUUAUUAGUGCAAUGAGACAGAAUAAAGGCAUUAAUAACUAGAAAAAUUUUAGUUUAAUAUACUUUACUUUCCACUCUAAGCUAUAAAAUGAAGAUCUGGUUAUGCAAUGCAGUAAUAAAUCACUGAUAGAAAAACAUAUUAAUACGUAUCUAAAACUUUAUCAUACAAACGUUUCAAGCAGGAUCACUGCAAGUCAGAAAAAAAAAUCAGUCAAAGUUAAUAGCAAGGAAUUAUUCAUGGAAGAUCAAAUAGCUUAAUAUUUACUUUUUGAGAAUGCAUGUUCCUUUUGACUAUAAAGUAGCUCCUUUACUAAUAGCAAAGUAUAACCCAAUUAUGGAAAUUGGCAAGGUCAUUAAAUAUGUCUAUGUGAAAAGCCAGAAGAGAGAGCAUAAAAUAAUUUCUGCUUUCCUGUUCCAGAGCAUUGAACUCGCCCUUUCUUUCAACAUGGCUUCUUGCUCCCUGGGAGGUACUAGGAGACAGAGCAAGGAUGCCACGGCUGGCAUCAGGACCAUGUUGGUCACAUCACACGGCCAGAAAGGGAAGGUGUGAACUGCAGCGGAAGUUACAGUGCCUGAGACACUUUGUUUUUAAAUGCUGACAUGCAGAACAAAACAGUUGAAAAUUACUUGGUAGGAGCAUUCACAGCUAGGUAACAAAUAAAACUCGUAUCUUGUGCAUGCUAGGAGUGAAAAGGCCCUCGAGAAAAGGAACAAAAGCCAAACUCAAAAGGAAAGAAAAAGAAAAGAAAAGUUACAGUGACCAUUCCUGGGAACUUACUCAGAGUCUUUGUUCCAUAACCGUCGUCACCUAAUCCGGGGAUGUCCUGCAUGGAAGUCCCCAGAGAGAGCAAUGAGAGAGGGAGAACAGCCACGGAAGAGGAAGGAAGAAGUCAGUGGAGUUGAAAUGGAUACUACCAUGACAGACCGUGUUGCCUGAGCAAUCUGGAUCCCUCGCUCUCUUCUUAGGAAACAAAUUUCACCCCAAACUCCCUGGGCUGAGACUUGAGGAUUCAUAUUGCAACUUGAAAGGUUUAAGCAGAAGGUUGUCAUGAAAAAGAUAGAGUCAACAAGAGCCAUUUUUACCCACUGUCAAUACUGCCACAGCAACGUACCGCUGAGAGUGAUGAUCCACUCCAAGUUUCACGGCCAAUUCUUAGAUUGAGCAUAAGGUCAAUUAUCCCAAGAUAAGCUCACUGUGAGGGAAAGAGUGAACAAAUACUAGUAACCGAAAGAGGGGAAUUUGAUCACUCCCAGUUAGCUAGCACUCCAAAACAAUCCAUGUGGCAAUGGAAUCUAAGAUUUCUGUCCAGAAAAGAAUUUGUCUCAAGCCCUUGGAGAGCUGCAUGAUAGAAAAGGUGAACCAGACACAGUCUUGGUCAUUGGUAAAAAAGUGCUGUUUGGAAGCAAAGUCCCCUGCUUCCUCAGGUCCCUUUCCAAUGCAUUCUGCGAAAAAAAAAAAAAAAAAGAGCUCCAUCCAGGGAAGGAUCCAGACUGCAGCCAAACACUGGUCACAGUAGUAAGCCCUGACCUGCCUGCCUGCCAUGUUUGUUUGCCUAGGCGUGUGGCGUGGGGCAGCCUACAUCAUGCGUGUUGCCCGUGAAGGAUUUUUUUUUUUUCUCUUGUGUUGCAGGUGACAUUCUCUUCGAGAAUCUACUUACGUUCAG